UGUUUCCUUCGGGGCAGGGUGUAACUCCCUACCGGCGGUGAUGAGCUGAAAAGCUCUUAGUCCGUGACCCGGACGCUUUGUGAAAAGCGGAAGGUGGAUUUGGUGAAACUCCAAAGCCGACAGUUAAAGUCUGGAUGAGAGAAGGAACAA
This 150-nucleotide non-coding RNA is filed under the name Sporosarcina sp. Its description in RNAcentral is "FMN sequence". It matches the Rfam family "FMN riboswitch aptamer (RFN element)". Rfam says of the family: The RFN element is a highly conserved domain that is found frequently in the 5'-untranslated regions of prokaryotic mRNAs that encode for flavin mononucleotide (FMN) biosynthesis and transport proteins. This element is a metabolite-dependent riboswitch that directly binds FMN in the absence of proteins. The record is from RNAcentral. Lineage: Bacteria; Bacillati; Bacillota; Bacilli; Caryophanales; Caryophanaceae.